Molecule: ribosomal RNA, 1499 nt
Filed under: uncultured bacterium
Lineage: Bacteria
Description: bacterial SSU rRNA
Rfam family: Bacterial small subunit ribosomal RNA
Source: RNAcentral
UGGUUCGAUUCUGGCUCAGGAUGAACGCUGGCGGCAUGCCUAAUACAUGCAAGUCGAACGGAGUGAAGCCUUCGGGUUUCAUUCAGUGGCGAACGGGUGAGUAAUACGCAGGGAACCUGGCCAUGGCAGGGGGAUACACUCUGGAAACGGAGCAUAAGACCCCAUAGGCAGUAAGGCGGCAUCGCCUUACUGUUAAAGAAAGCUGAAAGGCUUUGGCGAUGGAUGGACCUGCGGUGCAUUAGCUUGUUGGUGAGGCAACGGCUUACCAAGGCGAUGAUGCAUAGCCGGCCUGAGAGGGCGGACGGCCACACUGGGACUGAGACACGGCCCAGACUCCUGCGGGAGGCAGCAGUAGGGAAUUUUCGUCAAUGGGCGCAAGCCUGAACGAGCAAUGCCGCGUGAGUGAGGAAGGUCUUCGGACUGUAAAGCUCUGUUGCCGGGGAAAAAGGGGAAAUGCAGGAAAUGGCAUUUCAUGGAUGGUACCCGGCCAGAAAGCCACGGCUAACUACGUGCCAGCAGCCGCGGUAAUACGUAGGUGGCGAGCGUUAUCCGGAAUGAUUGGGCGUAAAGGGUGCGCAGGCGGUCUGUUAAGUCUGAAGGCAAAGGGAUGAGCUCAACUCAUUUAUGAUUCAGAAACUGGCAGACUUGAGGACAGGAGAGGGCGGUGGAACUCCAUGUGUAGCGGUAAAAUGCGCAGAGAUAUGGAAGAACACCAGUGGCGAAGGCGGCCGCCUGGCCUGUGACUGACGCUGAGGCACGAAAGCGUGGGGAGCAAAUAGGAUUAGAUACCCUAGUAGUCCACGCCGUAAACGAUGAGGAGCAGGUGUUGGGAGUGAAAUCUCAGUGCCGAAGCCAACGCAGUGACUCCUCCGCCUGGGGAGUAUGCACGCAAGUGUGAAACUCAAAGGAAUUGACGGGGGCCCGCACAAGCGGUGGAGUAUGUGGUUUAAUUCGAAGCAACGCGAAGAACCUUACCAGGUUUUGACAUCGGAUGCGAAGGCGCAGAGAUGCGCUGGAGGCUAUCAUCCAGACAGGUGGUGCAUGGUUGUCGUCAGCUCGUGUCGUGAGAUGUUCAGUUAAGUCUGGCAACGAGCGCAACCCCCGUGGUAUGUUACUAACGCAUUUGGGCGAGGACUCAUAUCAGACUGCCGGUGACAAACCGGAGGAAGGCGGGGAUGACGUCAAAUCAUCAUGCCCCUUAUGACCUGGGCUACACACGUACUACAAUGGCGUCUACAGAGGGAAGCGACCCUGAGAAGGGAAGCGAAACCGGAAAAGGGCGUCCCAGUUCGGAUUGAAGUCUGCAACCCGACUUCAUGAAGAUGGAAUCGCUAGUAAUCGCGGAUCAGCAUGCCGCGGUGAAUACGUUCCCGGGCCUUGUACACACCGCCCGUCAAACCAUGGAAGCCGGCAACGCCCGAAGCCGGUGGCAUAACCUUUUAGGAGUGAGCCGUCGAAGGCGGGGCCGAUGACUGGGGUUAAGUCGUAACAAGGUAGCC